CCCACCCCUAGCCAUAGAGGGCGCGGCGCCAUGGUCGGUUUGGCCGCGCGCUCCACCUUGGCUCCACCCCUCCCCGUCCCACCCUCCCCGGCAGGUCCGGCCACGUGCUGCACCACGGGAUAACUUGCCACCUACGGGCAGUGCUGACACCUGUGGUCGCUAAGGUGGGCAGGGGGCGACAGGGGAGACUUAGGUAACCCGUCUGGCCACGCCGCGACAAAGGGCUGGGCGUGAUAAAAUGACCCCCUACUGAGCCCUUUGAUGUGAUCCUCCAGCCACCACCACCACCACCACUACUACUAGUCUACUACUACUACUACUACUACUACUACUACUACUACGGAUGCAGCUCCCUUGGGCCCCAACAUCUCCAAGGCCGGGUUCCCACUAUCCCGUUUUGACGGUUCCGUCGACCGUCAAUGACGUCAUCGACGGCGACGACUGUGGGAACCGGGUCCCGCGCACGGAGCCCCGUCGGCCCGUCCAGAGAUGAAUCCAAGUUAACUUUUGGGUCCGGGUCGACGGCGGUGGUGGCCCGUCCAGUGAUGCUGAAUAUUAUACAUAUCAUGAAAAUAUGAAAUGGAAGUACUUGGAUACAAAAUAACAUAUACAUACAUUUCACUUUAAUAAUAAUAUAGAUACAUUAGCAUUAUGUGCAUCUAUUUCGUUUGGCAAUAAAUAUCUUUUGUUGAAAACUGGAAGUGUGGCACUAACGCACACCGCCACAGCCGGGUGUAAACAAACCCACGGGUGUGGCGGGGAGAUUGGUGGCAAAUAUAUGUAUUCUUCUGUUGCAGAGAACACCCGGGGGUCAUUUGCGAACUAUUUCAGUUCCUCCCAUAUCAAAAUUAUAUUGUGAACAGGGAGCGACUUCAAUAGGCAGGCAGAUGGUUGAGAAUUCAAUCAGUUGUUGUUUUUAGUUGUUCAUCAGCAGAGCAGACCUCAGAGCCUGCCUUGGACUGGGUUUUACCACAGCUCCCUUGUAUUGUAUGUUGAGUUGUCUGUGAGUGUGGUUGUCCUGCCAUUCCACACGAUGUGUAGCAUUUAAUAAUAAU
Molecule: long non-coding RNA, 1055 nt
Organism: Eriocheir sinensis (Chinese mitten crab)
Lineage: Eukaryota; Metazoa; Arthropoda; Malacostraca; Decapoda; Varunidae
Exons: 3
Source: RefSeq, a predicted model, not a curated record